Molecule: ribosomal RNA, 253 nt
Filed under: uncultured bacterium
Lineage: Bacteria
Description: partial 16S ribosomal RNA
Rfam family: Bacterial small subunit ribosomal RNA
Source: RNAcentral
UACGUAGGCAGCAAGCGUUGUUCGGAAUUACUGGGCGUAAAGAGUGUGUAGGCGGUGCUCUAAGUCUGUUGUGAAAUCUCCCGGCUUAACCGGGAGGGUGCGGCGGAAACUGGAGUGCUUGAGGGUGGGAGAGGUAAGCGGAAUUCCUGGUGUAGCGGUGAAAUGCGUAGAUAUCAGGAGGAACACCGGUGGUGUAGACGGCUUACUGGACCACGACUGACACUGAGGCACGAAAGCGUGGGUAGCAAACAGG